CUCCUACCCUCUCCCCUCCCCAUGCUGCUAUCUAACUGCCACCUGCUCUUCCCCCACUACCAAUUCUGAGCGACUGCAGAGCCAGAAAGAAGCACCUCCUUGCAAACUCUUCUCCGGAUCUACAGCCCUUCCAGUCCCAAGGCUGCUUUCAACCUUUUCUUUAAAGUGAACCUCAAAACAUGGAGAGAUAGCCGGUGUCCUCCAGGAUACUGUUCCAGCCUCCAUGUGCCGUCUGCAGUUUGGAUUUGAGCAUGGUGACCUAAAUCCUAAUAAUGACAGUCAUGAUCCAAUGAUAAAAGCAGCUGAGUCUGUGGUCUCAUGGAAGCACCCCCUCUGCCAUACUGAAACGGAAAUGACUUUUCCAGAGCAUUUGAGAACUUCCAUGAAACCGCUUCAAGG
Molecule: long non-coding RNA, 399 nt
Filed under: Equus caballus (horse)
Lineage: Eukaryota; Metazoa; Chordata; Mammalia; Perissodactyla; Equidae
Description: lncRNA (ENSECAG00000056438.1)
Source: RNAcentral